GACGGAGGGUGCAAGCGUUGUUCGGAAUUACUGGGCGUAAAGCGCGUGUAGGCGGCUCGCUAAGUCUGAUGUGAAAUCCCGGGGCUCACCCCCGGAAGUGCAUUGGAAACUGGCGAGCUCGAGUCCCGGAGAGGAGGGUGGAAGUCCUGGUGUAGCGGUGAAAUGCGUAGAUAUCAGGAGGAACACCGGUGGCGAAGGCGGCCCUCUGGACGGUGACUGACGCUGAGACGCGAAAGCGUGGGGAGCAAACAGG
Molecule: ribosomal RNA, 253 nt
Filed under: uncultured bacterium
Lineage: Bacteria
Description: partial 16S ribosomal RNA
Rfam family: Bacterial small subunit ribosomal RNA
Source: RNAcentral